Long non-coding RNA from Cavia porcellus (domestic guinea pig), 836 nucleotides. RefSeq lists it as uncharacterized. The transcript is spliced from 3 exons. The record is from RefSeq and is a predicted model, not a curated record. Lineage: Eukaryota; Metazoa; Chordata; Mammalia; Rodentia; Caviidae.
GGAGAAUGCUCCUGAACCCCAGUUGGAGAGGCCUGCAUGCCGGGAAAGUGGGCCGACUUCUGCUCCAGGUGCAAAUGGGACCGAGAGCCAAGUUUUGUGGGAAUAAUGGGGGAAAGAAGACAGCACCGAGCCGAGAGCCCUGAAGGAGGACCAUUACUGCCUCGAUUAUCAAUGUUGGAGCUGCUCAGGAGGAGGAGAAGGGUCAGGGUAGACGAGGCCACAGACCAGGGCAGAGCCAGCUUGGCUCCUGAGGGGUUCUCUCGCUUCUGUUUCUGCUCCUGCCGCUGCUGGUCUCUCUUUCACCCAGGUCUUUAGCAGAGCUGGGGCUUUGCAGUGACGGGAAUUGCCCAGGAGUCGCUGGAGGCGUGAGAAUGGAAAGAUGGGGCUGCUCCCCCGAGCUCACACUUCAGACAUUACCCCGGCACAGCUGUCUUGAGGACUAGAACCAUCUGUCCUCCUCCCUGCUGGGCUUCCCACCCCUGGUCACACCAGCCCUUCUCUAGGGUCCCUGCCAAGGGCCCAGGGGCCUCUCACCAGCUAACCUCCUGGCCCUCCACCUGGGAUCCAGCACCUGCCACCACAGCUGUGACUCCUCCCUGAUACACAGAGAAUACUUUAAGUACGUCCCAACUGUUGUAUGGUAUUGCUAUGGAAGAGGAUUUUGGACGGGACUGGAUGAGGUGGAAGCCACCCCGCUGGGGUGAAAUUCACCUUUGUCCUACUGGAGACUCUGGUGUAUUAAACCAAGCAUCUUUGGAAACCAUCAUUCCAAUGUUCUCAUUUUGUGAAGCAAAAAACAGAGCCCCAGAGGACUUCAAAGAAUUGCCCCUCUGUAG